RNAcentral lists this ribosomal RNA (380 nucleotides) under uncultured eukaryote. Its description in RNAcentral is "partial 18S ribosomal RNA". It matches the Rfam family "Eukaryotic small subunit ribosomal RNA", at positions 592 to 976 of the family's 1831-position model. The record is from RNAcentral.
CAAUAGCGUAUAUUAAAGUUGUUGCGGUUAAAAAGCUCGUAGUUGGAUUUCUGCUGAGAACGACCGGUCCGCCCUUUGGGUGUGUAUCUGGCUCUUUCUUGGCAUCUUCUUGGUGAACGUUGCUGCACUUGACUGUGUGGAGCGCUACCCAGGACUUUUACUUUGAGGAAAUUAGAGUGUUUCAAGCAGGCAUACGCCUUGAAUACAUUAGCAUGGAAUAAUAAGAUAGGACCUCGGUUCUAUUUUGUUGGUUUCUAGAGCUGAGGUAAUGAUUAAUAGGGAUAGUUGGGGGCAUUCGUAUUUAACUGUCAGAGGUGAAAUUCUUGGAUAUGUUAAAGACGGACUACUGCGAAAGCAUUUGCCAAGGAUGUUUUCAUUGA